GACGAACGCUGGCUACGUGCUUAACACAUGCAAGUCGAACGGAAAGGCCCUGCUUUUGUGGGGUUCUCUAGUGGCGAACGGGUGAGUAACACGUUAGUACCUUUCCCUCCACUUUGGGAUUACUUCAUGAAACUGGGGCUAAUACCGUAUUGGAGCUCCUUCUGCCUCGAGGGGGUUGGAAUGUUUCGGCGGUUGGGGAUGGACUCGCGGCUUAUCAGCUUGUUGGUGGGGUAGUGGCUUACCAAGGCUUUGACGGGUAGCCGGCCUGAGAGGGUGACCGGCCACAUUGGGACUGAGAUACGGCCCAGACUCCUACGGGAGGCAGCAGUGGGGAAUAUUGCACAAUGGGCGGAAGCCUGAUGCAGCAACGCCGCGUGCGGGAUGACGGCCUUCGGGUUGUAAACCGCUUUCGCCUGUGACGAAGCGUGAGUGACGGUAAUGGGUAAAGAAGCACCGGCUAACUACGUG
RNAcentral lists this ribosomal RNA (468 nucleotides) under uncultured bacterium. RNAcentral describes it as "partial 16S ribosomal RNA". It matches the Rfam family "Bacterial small subunit ribosomal RNA", at positions 28 to 507 of the family's 1533-position model. The record is from RNAcentral.